AUCUCAUUAGAAACUAGACUCAUUAAGGAGUCUAAGCAUAUAAAUUUUAUCUUAUAAUCAUUUUUGUACAAUUUAUAAUGAUUUUCUAAAAACAGAACAGGGAAUCCAGCAGUCAUUAUGACUCAGCCCCACAAUGCUUCAAAUAUCUCAAGAUCGGUAACUCUUUUGUUUUUAUAGUUUCUUUUGUAAGAAAAUAGACUCUUCAAGCUUUAAUGACAUAAUUCACUCAGCUUCUAAUUCAACUCCUAUAAUUUAUGGCGAUUUUCCAAAAUCACCUUACUGCUGCUGUCCCCAAACAGAUUAUCACCAAAUCAAAUACUAACAUUAGCAUUUCACCUUAAUAGCUAGCUUACCAAGUCUUGAUUUAACAUAUAAUUCACACAUAUCACAUUCAGCUAUAUAUAUAUACAUUUAUCAUAUUUAUUAUUAACAAAGUAUGCUCAUGACAAAUUUACUCCCAAUCGCAUCUCAAAAUUCAUCAAGCUUAGAACACAUUUACUAAUUAAAUUCGGUAGUUUAAUCACUUUACUAACCACUUAUACAUAUAAUUCCAUUCAACAUUAUAACCCAUUAUCACUCAUUUAGCCGAUUAUAGAGAAUUAAACAUAAUAUCUCUAGGAUAUACUCUACAUGGCCGAAUACACUACAUUAAUUUCCAACAUUACCUAGGUAAUUACCUAUAGGUUCUUAUACCUUAAAUUCACACAUUUAGCCUUUUAAUGCCUAUUGAUCGAUCCUUUGGUCCUAACAAGAACCAAUUAACAUGCAAGGAACCUAAUCAUAGAGGAAGAAAUUUACAUUCUAAAUAGGCUCAAUCUUUGACCGAAUGUACUAGGCUCCUCUAAGCCACUCAUCCAAAAAUCUUUACCCCAUUCUAGUCACUCUCCCAUUGUUCCAUCCUUGCAAAGCCUAUAGUUCACUCGGCCACUCAACCCACAACCUAUCGAAACUUCAAUUCAAACUCAUUAGCCGAAUAUACAUAUACUUAUAAUAAGCACAUAUAACAUCUUCUUCAAGACACAUUCGGCUAUGGCAUAAUUUCCUUAUAAAACCCAAUUAAUCAAUCCACCUUAACCGAAACUUAACUCAUACAAAACCUAUCUUCAAACCAUAAAAUAGGUAGAAGUUAAACUAAUCAUCCAAAUGGUGCAUAAGUUUUCCAAGAAUGACAUUGAACUUACCUUACUUUAGGUAUCCACCUUAGCCGAAUUUUCUUCCCCAAAGGCUUUUCUUCCUCUUCUUUCUCUAGUUACGGCAAUGGAGGAGAAAACAUAGGCUAACUUUGGUUUCUCCUCCCACUAACUUGUAUUUUAUUAACCUUAUUCAUUAUUUCAUUUUGUAACAUAAACUAUUAGCAUAAAAUAGUUAUAAUAUUAUUUAAUCCAUAACAUGGCCGGCCACCCUAUUUAACUUGGGUAAAUUGACAUGCAAAACCACUCCUUUCAAUGCAUGUACUAUUAGACCAUUGUAAAUUAGCCUCUCACUUUCCAACAAAGUUUCAUAUAAGUCCAAUAAAAAAAAUUCACAUAAAGAUGAUCAAAUUAAUGCAUGAGACUUUCACACAUGCAUUUACUCACAUCAUAAACACAGAAUAUAACUUUUAAUCAUUUAUAAGACUCGGUUUAGCAGUCCCGAAACCACUUCCCGACUAGGGUCAGUUUUGGGCUGUCACA
Molecule: long non-coding RNA, 1673 nt
Filed under: Gossypium barbadense (sea-island cotton)
Lineage: Eukaryota; Viridiplantae; Streptophyta; Magnoliopsida; Malvales; Malvaceae
Description: long non-coding RNA (GBAR_LNC000690)
Source: RNAcentral